UGGGGAAUUUUGGACAAUGGGCGAAAGCCUGAUCCAGCAAUGCCGCGUGUGUGAAGAAGGCCUUCGGGUUGUAAAGCACUUUUGUCCGGAAAGAAAUCCUUGGCUCUAAUACAGUCGGGGGAUGACGGUACCGGAAGAAUAAGCACCGGCUAACUACGUGCCAGCAGCCGCGGUAAUACGUAGGGUGCAAGCGUUAAUCGGAAUUACUGGGCGUAAAGCGUGCGCAGGCGGUUUGCUAAGACCGAUGUGAAAUCCCCGGGCUCAACCUGGGAACUGCAUUGGUGACUGGCAGGCUAGAGUAUGGCAGAGGGGGGUAGAAUUCCACGUGUAGCAGUGAAAUGCGUAGAGAUGUGGAGGAAUACCGAUGGCGAAGGCAGCCCCCUGGGCCAAUACUGACGCUCAUGCACGAAAGCGUGGGGAGCAAACAGGAUUAGAUACCCUGGUAGUCCACGCCCUAAACGAUGUCAACUGUUGUUGGGGAAUGCUUCCUUACGUAACGUAGCUAACGCGUGAAGUUGACCGCCUGGGGAGUACGGCGCAAGGUGUAAAACUCAAAUGAAUUGACGGGGUCAUAGCUGUUUCCU
RNAcentral lists this ribosomal RNA (584 nucleotides) under uncultured bacterium. RNAcentral describes it as "partial 16S ribosomal RNA". It matches the Rfam family "Bacterial small subunit ribosomal RNA", at positions 355 to 1375 of the family's 1533-position model. The record is from RNAcentral.